CCUACGGGAGGCAGCAGUAGGGAAUUUUCGUCAAUGGGCGCAAGCCUGAACGAGCAAUGCCGCGUGAACGAGGAAGGUCUUCGGAUCGUAAAGUUCUGUUGAAGGGGAAAAAGAGCGGAGAGAGGAAAUGGUCUCCGAUUGAUAUUACGCUUCGAGGAAGUCACGGCUAACUACGUGCCAGCAGCCGCGGUAAUACGUAGGUGGCGAGCGUUAUCCGGAAUGAUUGGGCGUAAAGGGUGCGUAGGCGGCCUGAUAAGUCUGGAGGGAAAGGUACCGGCAAAACCGUUACAGGCUCUGGAAACGGGCGGGCUAGAGAGCAGGAGAGGGCGGGGGAACUCCAGGUGUAGCGGUAAAAGGCGUAGAUAUAUGGAAGAACACCAGUGGCGAAGGCGGCCGCCUGGCCUGUUACUGAGGCUGAGGCACGAAAGCGUGGGGAGCAAAUAGGAUUAGAUACCCGAGUAGU
This 463-nucleotide ribosomal RNA is filed under the name uncultured bacterium. Its description in RNAcentral is "partial 16S ribosomal RNA". It matches the Rfam family "Bacterial small subunit ribosomal RNA", at positions 338 to 794 of the family's 1533-position model. The record is from RNAcentral.